GCCUAGGACUACAGCCCUCCACCUUCACUGUUGUUGCUCCACUUGCAGGUGACGGCAAGACAAGCAAAAUAGGACGUCAAAGGUGGACGUCAAAGAAGGGAAAAGCUUAACGGCCAAGAAGAAACUUAUCCCCGAGCUCGAUCACACGACCGUCGCGACGCUCUCAUUAAUACUAACUCCAAGAUUAUUCAUACUCUUCAAGUUACCAACUUCCACGUACCUCGCGUAUGCACUCACGGCCGUGCUGCUGCUGUGCCGUACAACGCCAACCGCAGCAAUAAGGCACGCAGAAAGCCCACCUUGCAAUGGCCGCGCAGGAACCUCGGGACACAGUUAUCCGCUGCUCUGCCGAGCCCCACCUGAAUUGCACAGCCACUCACACUCUGCUCCCCGACACUCUGCACAAUGAAUCGCAGGUGCCAGCAGACCUCCGUUCUCACGGCAGCCUUCGCAUCAUCCAGCAGACGCGUGCUUACCGAGUGAGCACUGUGCGCUUCCAGUCGAGAGGGGGAACCUACGCCUAACUCAAAAGUACCAACACAACACUAACCUAUGCCUAACACUAAAGUAAGAACAGCAACCUACGCCUAACUCUAAAGUAACAACAACAACAACAACAACAAUCUACUCCUAACACUAACAUAACAACAAGAACCCCUACCUAACUCUAAAAUACAAACAACAACCUACUCCUACCACUAGAACUAAACUUAACACUAACAUCAACAAGAACGGGGACGGGGACAGAACGGGGCUCAGAGGGGACUGGGGGCCCGCAGAACUCGGCGCCAGAGGAGGACCAGAUGUUAAAUAAUGCCACCCAGCUAAUGCUGGGGGCGGGGGCCGCGCAGCGGGUAAGGAGCCGAGCGCCUGGACCAGCGAUGGCGGAGCUGUGACGGCGCCGAUGCGGGGCCUGGCACGGUGGUGUGGUGCCAGGCCAGCUAUGCCGCAGGCGGAUCCACCUCCAUGGGCUCCACGGUGGUGCUCACGCUGCUGGUCCAGGUGCGAUGGAAACGCACUCUCCUGCCCCUCCUCCGCUUGAUGGUCAUGGCGGGCCCCCUCCUCCUCUUCGCUUCUGGGGCCCCCAGCUCCCUCUUCCCACCUACAAUAGGGCAAUCGUCCCCUCUCGCUCUCUUCGUGCCUGACAUGGCUCUCAACCGCCAGAGCACUCCGAGGCGAGUGCGUUGCGUGGGGCAGCGGUGACCAAGGUGACAGCUGGGACAUGGCGAAGGUUCUAAAAUGGCAGCCGCACUGCUGGCAGUGGCCUUCCACGGAGGAGGAGGAGGGGGCUGCAGGACAGGGCACGGGACGCCAGGUAGAAGGCGCUCCCUGUGCCCAGCGGGCAGCCCUUCUCUCCGGCCAGCAAGAGGGCACACAGGAGCCGGCCCCGACAAAAGGGCCCUCAGCCUCCUUCACCCUCGCCCUCCUUCCACAAGGGAAUCCCCUUCUCAGCCUGGGACACGCAGCACACAGCCGCUCGCUGUGAUGGCAUCUCCUGAGGCCAGUGCAAACAACAGCAGGCUCCAAAGCGCACCUGACUACGCCUGCCUCCUGCGAGACAGAAGCCAUGGCUUCCAUUUCAGCAUCCAGUGCCUCUUCCCAUGUGCGGUCCCAUGCUGGGAUUCCAACAUUACCUACAAUAAAUACGUCCAACUGAGUGUUGAACAACAGUUUCAGAGUCUCUGAGGAAAUACGUUAUAGGGAACAAGCUUCCUCAACGAGGCUGCUUGCGACUCGCCUCGCUUAUAAAGCCCUUGCAUUCAACAAUCCCAUUCCCAAAAUAACAUACCUACUAUUUGCUAGAGCAUCUCAGACAGCCUGGGGGGCAAAGUCGUGGUAGGUAAGUAUUGCAGGACACCACUUCCAGAGGACACCCGGGGACUUGGAAGGAUGUCAGUCACUGCAGGCCUGUGGACUACGGCAGCGUCCUUGCCCUACUGCUCAUGCUCGGCGACAGCAAGAGAGCAUCUCCUCCUGCCACGAAGCAGGCAGCUGGCAGCGGGGAGCAGAGAGGCAGCAGCUGGGGCACAGAGCUGUCAGCAGAACAUGAAGAACAUGCACGCUAAGCGAGGUGCGUGCGGGUCAGACCCCGAGCCCAGGAAUGCUUCAGCUGCACUCAGGGGACAGGCAUGCGCUGGCGUUGCGGCUCCAUGCCGAGGGCCAGAGCUGCUGCAGGGCCAGCGCUGGGCCUGGGGGCUACAUCAGCCCGGGCAGCUUCUGCCAGCUCCCAGAGAGCUUCUCCCCUCUGCACUUUCUCUGGGCAGGGGACCAGGGAAAACCAGGGCAACAGGCACAGACCUGAUGCGGGCCACAGGCUGCCGUGCCUGCCGAGAGCAUCAGGGGUGCUACGGCCAUACGCAGGAAGCUUGAUCCUUGUGGGAAGACACUGCUAGGACAGCACCCGCUUGUCCUUCUUGCCAACCGUGGCUGCGUCCGUGCCCACUCAUCGGGGCUGUCCUCCCGGUGCCAAGCCAGCAGAGCACAGCCCGCAGUGGCUGUGGGGGCCAAGAUAUUCAUUGGGAGCUGCCUGCCACAGCAUCCAGCUCAGCUCCUACAAGCACCACUCGCUCGCACCGCACCGCACCGCACCGCACGCCUCGCCUCUGCGUGCGUGCCGGCAGCACCACGAGCUCCUCCCCCGAGAGCCCCUCCAUGCCCCCGCCCCGAGCCCCGAGCCCCGACCCCGUGCCCAGGACACAGCCCGCUCCUCCCGGCCCCGCUCACCGGCCUCGCGCCGCCAUGCCGCGCUGCCCCGGAACUGCUCUCCGCCGCCGCCAAGCACUUCCUGCCCCGGCCCUAGCAACCGCCUGCGGCGUCACGUUGCUAAGGGCGGCCUGGGGGCGGCCCGGGGCCUGUGGGGGGGGC
RNAcentral lists this long non-coding RNA (2865 nucleotides) under Gallus gallus (chicken). Lineage: Eukaryota; Metazoa; Chordata; Aves; Galliformes; Phasianidae. The record is from RNAcentral.